RNAcentral lists this ribosomal RNA (460 nucleotides) under uncultured bacterium. RNAcentral describes it as "partial 16S ribosomal RNA". It matches the Rfam family "Bacterial small subunit ribosomal RNA", at positions 338 to 795 of the family's 1533-position model. The record is from RNAcentral.
CCUACGGGUGGCAGCAGUGAGGAAUAUUGGUCAAUGGGCGCAAGUCUGAACCAGCCAAGCAGCGUGAAGGAAGACUGCCCUAUGGGUUGUAAACUGCUUUUAUCAAGGAGUAAACUGAGGUACGUGUGUCUUUCUGUAUGUAUUUUACGAAUAAGGAUCGGCUAACUCCGUGCCAGCAGCCGCGGUAAUACGGAGGAUGCGAGCGUUAUCCGGCUUUAUUGGGUUUAAAGGGUGCGUAGUUGGGUGGAUAAGUUAGAGGUGAAAGCCUGCGGCUCAACCGUGGAAUUGCCUGUGAUACUGGCAGGCUAGAGAGUAGUUGCGGUAGGCGGAAUGCAUGGUGUAGCGGUGAAAUGCUUAGAGAUCACAAAGAACACCGAUUGCGAAGGCAGCUUACUAAGCUGCGUCUGACGUUGAGGCACGAAAGCGUGGGGAGCAAACAGGAUUAGAUACCCUAGUAGUC